Molecule: ribosomal RNA, 301 nt
Filed under: uncultured bacterium
Lineage: Bacteria
Description: partial 16S ribosomal RNA
Rfam family: Bacterial small subunit ribosomal RNA
Source: RNAcentral
CAGUCGCCGCGGUAAUACGUAGGGUGCAAGCGUUAAUCGGAAUUACUGGGCGUAAAGUGUGCGCAGGCGGUUAUAUAAGACAGAUGUGAAAUCCCCGGGCUCAACCUGGGAACUGCAUUUGUGACUGUAUAGCUAGAGUACGGCAGAGGGGGAUGGAAUUCCGCGUGUAGCAGUGAAAUGCGUAGAUAUGCGGAGGGACACCGAUGGCGAAGGCAAUCCCCUGGGCCUGUACUGACGCUCAUGCACGAAAGCGUGGGGAGCAAACAGGAUUAGAUACCCCCGUAGUCCCUGUCUCUUAUAC